CGCACGGGUGAGUAACACGUAUCCAACCUGCCGUCUACUCUUGGCCAGCCUUCUGAAAGGAAGAUUAAUCCAGGAUGGGAUCAUGAGUUCACAUGUCCGCAUGAUUAAAGGUAUUUUCCGGUAGACGAUGGGGAUGCGUUCCAUUAGAUAGUAGGCGGGGUAACGGCCCACCUAGUCAACGAUGGAUAGGGGUUCUGAGAGGAAGGUCCCCCACAUUGGAACUGAGACACGGUCCAA
RNAcentral lists this ribosomal RNA (237 nucleotides) under uncultured bacterium. RNAcentral describes it as "partial 16S ribosomal RNA". It matches the Rfam family "Bacterial small subunit ribosomal RNA", at positions 99 to 334 of the family's 1533-position model. The record is from RNAcentral.